AGUGUUGGGGGACGGUUAGCGUGUCUUUGCAGUGACAGUUUGUUGGACAUAUUUCCUUGUUUUGGCACCGAAUUUCAGCGUCAAGAACUUGAAGCCGACUCAAAAGUGAUGACGGAAUACACGUGACAAACAACUGUGUAAAGUUAGAUCGAUUUAGUAUGAUAAUUUUCAUAAAUAACGAGCCACAAGCGAAUCCAUAUUAGCUGUCGUCUGCUAAGCUCGAGUUAGUGAGUAGCUUUCUGUUGUCGUAGUUGAAAUAUUUAUACCGUCUGGCAAGUGAUAAUGGGCAACAUCUACACUGUUGGGCCGAAUGAAGCCCUCGUCGUUUCAGGCGGCUGCUGUGGGGCGACCACCAAGAAGACCAUCGUCGGAGGCUGGGCGUGGGCCUGGUGGUUCGUUACUGACGUGCAGCGCCUCUCCCUGGAGGUGAUCACGAUCAAGCCGCGGUGCGAGAACGUCGAGACGUCGCUGGGUGUUCAAGUGACGGUGACGGGCGUAGCACAGAUCAAGAUCAUGAAGGAGGAGAAGGUCCUGAAGAUUGCCUCCGAGCAGUUCCUGGGCAUGUCGCAGGAGGAGAUGAUGAGCACCAUCCUUAUGACCCUUGAGGGACAUCUCAGGGCUAUACUUGCUACGCUGACGGUGGAAGAGGUGUACCGGGACCGAGACCAGUUUGCGUCCCUGGUGAGGGACGUGGCAGGCAUGGACGUGGGACGUAUGGGCAUUGAAAUACUCUCCUUCACCAUCAAGGACGUAUACGACCGUGUGGAGUAUCUCACGUCGCUGGGACGCUCGCAGACGGCGGCCGUGAAGCGCGACGCGGACAUCGGCGUGGCGCUCGCUAACAGAGACGCCGGCAUCAGGGAAGCUGAGUGCCAGAAGACGGCGAUGGACGUGAAGUACACCACCGACACCAAAAUAGAAGACAACGCCAGGAUGUUUAAACUGCAGAAGGCGCAAUUUGACACGGAAGUUAAUGCAGCGCAAGCGGAUGCAGCACUGGCAUACGAGCUUCAGGCAGCGAAGCUGAAGCAGAACAUCAGGAACGAAGAGAUCCAGAUCGAGGUGGUGGAGCGCAGGAAACAGAUCGAGGUCGAGGAGCAAGAGAUCAACAGGAAGGAAAAGGAGCUCAUGGCCACCAUCAAACUGCCUGCCGAAGCUGAGAGCUACAGGCUCGAGACCAUAGCGCAGGGUAAACGUACUCAGACGGUCGAGACAGCCCGCGCCGAGGCAGAACGUAUCAAGCGGAUCGGUGAGGCCGAGGCGUACUCCGUGCAGCUCGUGGGAGAGGCUGAGGCUGACCGUCUCCGCAUGAAGGCUCAGGCUUACAAGCAGUACGGCGACGCUGCCGUCAUGGCCAUGGUGCUGGAAUCCCUGCCACAAAUUGCUGCUGAAAUCUCGGCUCCUCUUGCCAAGACCGACGAGAUCCUCAUGAUCGGCAGCAAUGACUGCAUCACCAACGGCGUCACCAAACUGGUGUCGGAACUGCCCCCUACCGUGCAGGCGCUGACCGGCGUCGAUAUCUCCAAGGUGUUGUCGAACGUCGAUAUCAACAAGCUGCUGAACAAGAUACCAGGAGUGUCCGGGGCGGGCGUACCGACUACGCGACCAGCGGCCGUGUGAGCUCCCGACCAGCUUCUCGUUUAAGAAUUUCCCUCCAAAAUACUCAACUCUGCUAUAGCGAGCUGAGCGCCGUGCGUUCGUAACGCACAGACGUCGUCGCGUGCAUGCACCGCGAACGUCGGACUUACGUCAUAAAACGUUUAUAACUCUUAAGAAAAGUACGUUUUUUAUAGGAAUAGUUUUAUGUAUUUGCCUCACUCUCACCAAUAGCUUCUGAAAAAUCAAAUUUAUAAUCGUCUCAAAACUGAUAAAAUGUGUUUUUUUUUUAUUUUUGAAUUGGUAGCUUGUGUCGUUUGUUGACCGACUUGUUUCUUGUGGGUGAUUUUAAUUACCGCUUAAAACAUUAAUUAAUUAAUGUCAUCUGUUCACUCGAACACUUAUAUUGGUUCGCUCCUCGAAGUCUAUAAUAAAUUAUUUAGAACAGAAAAGGCUAUAUGUCAGGGUCUGGCAGCACAUGAAGUAUUUUCUCGUAGUUUAUUGUCGUUCUUUAUUUUUAAUGAAGAGAACGUAUAAAGGCCUGCUUUCUGCUUGUUUUUAUUGAAUGAUAAAGGAAUCAAUUUUUGUGUAGGAUUAGUUACGCGACUUACAAGAUGCACGUGUGUAAAAGCUGUCUUUAAAUGUCUACAGAUAAAAAUGUAAUUUUAUGAUAAUAUUACGUCCUUAAGUCUCAAACCUUCAUUUCAGUUUGCGAAAAAGACUUCAAUCGUAAAAUCGUUAAUAGACUUUUAGAAAUUGCGGUAUUGAAUGAGGUUUUUCUAGAUUUACUUGGUAUCAUAGCUGCCAUGUCUGCAUUACCUGAGAGAUAGACUGCAGUACGUUAGUCUUACUUUAAUUUUGUUCGGUAAGUUGUUCUGAACAUUUUAUCAUAGUAACAAACGCUGUAUUAUGAGAUAUGAAUCCAUAUUAACGAAGCUUUGAUCUCUAUUCCCAAGGUUACCGUUCAUGUUAAGUAAAUAUUUUGCUUUUGGUUGUUUUGAAUUACAUUAAAAAUGCAUGGGUAAUGUCAUUAUGAUACCGUAGCCAUCUUUAUAUUUGCUCAGGAUACUCAUAUUUGUUUGAUCUGUCAAGGUUUGUACACGCGCCCAGCUGGAAAAAUGGAAUCUUUUACUGAAAUUGAAUGGCAGUUUUUCGGUAGCGUAUUUGUUGUAUUAACGAACAGGAAUUGCUAACCGCCCUUAGCGAGAAUAUCUCUGGCUUUAUCUCUGCGUUUCUAAAAGAGGUUGGUCGAGCGUUUUCUUUAACUAAUACUCGGGUCGCUAGGAUGUAUUGUACAACGUAUUUUUUGUAUAAACUUUUACUGUAAAUCUCGUAUGAAAAGACAUGUCAUUACAAUCUGUUUGGUGCUUUCAAUGUAGUUAACUGUCAAUCUGUUGGCUCUCCGUUCAUCUGUUCUAUUGGUAUGGCAGGAAGGCUAUCAAAGACAGGAAGGCUAUCUAUUGAUAUACCUCGAAGGCUAUUAACCCGGACAUAAUUUUAAGCAGCAGUAGAGUUCUGUAAUCGCACUGCCAUGAGGGAGAAAAUCCUCUCUAGUUAGCUUUUACAUGUCGAAAUUAUGCAGAUUUUGUACUCGUCUAAUCGUUGUUUAUGGGGCGUAGUUCGAACAUUUUAAGUAUUGUAGUACAACUCGCUUGCGACGACUAACAAUAUAAAUAAUCAUUGCCAUCAUCUCUUGAUGCUUCCAGUGAGAAUUUUGUCAUUAAUCUGAGACUCUGAGCGUUAAUAAUACUUACUACUGCUCGAAGUGAUGUAAGGGUACAUGGUGGACUUAUAAAUCGUCUUGUUUACUGAAUGCAUGUAAAGAAUGCAUCUAAUGCAUGUCAUUCUGUUUACUGAAUGCACAUAAUCGAAAUAAAUAUUCUUGAAGACUCGUGUAAACGAAAUGGGCCAAGGCAUAUGAAUGGAAACUGAUGCAUGUACACGAGACUAGAAACCAUCAAAGCCGACAUGUUGGUAAAUUAAACAAUGUAAAGAUUAACAAACACUGAACAAUUAUGAACUGAAUUAUCGGGAUUAUGUCCAUCAUUGGCCGGGUUGCUGGAAGCAUCGUUGCAUCGAUAGUUAAUCAUUGUCCUAAUCAUCUCGAGAUAGUUGUUUUCCUUCACCAUUUUGGGUUUGUUGAUAAUUACCUUUAACUUUUGGGAAUAGUUGUUUCAUUUCCUACUCAAUCUCAUGGUAGUUUAUCACUUCUAAUGAUGUUUGGUGAACUGCAGUGAAUCCACGUAAAGUAUUGAACUGUUCGUUGUUGCUGUCUAGUCGUCGCAUUCACUGGGCAUUCAAUAGAUCUCGAUCACAUGAAUUCAUCUGAUGGAUGCAAGGAUGAAUGAAUGAUAGUAGCAUCUGUGACACGUUGGUUACAUCUGAAUAUAGCUUUUGAAGCUUGGCGUUGUCUAUUUUGAUACUUCAUUAAUUAUAACAUACGUGCAUAUGUAGGCUUUGCAUCCCUUAUUUUUUGUAUUAUGUUUCUUAUUGCAAGACUUAACUACAUGAUUAUCAUGCAUCUGAACUCGGCUCUGAAUUAUUUAAUAUCUCGGUUAUCUUUUCAUUUAAUUGUACCAACAUAACUCUGGAUGAUAAUAUUACGACGUGAUAAUUUUUGAAUGUUAAUGAAUAAUAUCUUGUUCUUUAACAUUUUUAUUAUUUUUAUCCAAGGUUUCUCACUUUGUGUGCACACUACUUAAUGUGCAGGUCCUUCUAAUAAUGAGAUUUGAAGGUUUUCUUGGUUUGGUUCCAGCGACUUAUACGUCAAUAUUUUUUUUUAUAUAAUGUAUAUCCUUAGCUUAUUUCGAGGGCAUUAAUUCAUAAAGUUCCGAAGCAGUGCUUUGACUGUAAGUGCUGCGCCGGUGAUCUGUCAGUUAAAUUUAAUGUUUUUGAUGAUUUUUUUUAUCUUGCAUAAUACUUUAUCUCAACAAUGGCCUAAAAUGUAAUUCCGUUAGACUGAUUUUAUGUCAGUGAUGAACUUCACUGAUUUAUAUCGUGAAGAUUAACAAUUAUUUGUACUUGAUGAUAAAUUUGUUGAAUCAUACCCCGUAUUACAGUGGAUUAAAAUCUCUUAUGGCCAUUGUUAAUGGGCCAUUGA
Molecule: RNA transcript, 4696 nt
Organism: Hyalella azteca
Lineage: Eukaryota; Metazoa; Arthropoda; Malacostraca; Amphipoda; Hyalellidae
Gene: Flo2
Gene name: flotillin-2
Exons: 11
Source: RefSeq, a predicted model, not a curated record